This 334-nucleotide ribosomal RNA is filed under the name uncultured eukaryote. RNAcentral's name for it is "partial 18S ribosomal RNA". It matches the Rfam family "Eukaryotic small subunit ribosomal RNA", at positions 1469 to 1796 of the family's 1831-position model. The record is from RNAcentral.
ACCCUUAGAUGUUCGGGGCCGCACGCGCGCUACACUGAAGGAAUCAGCGUGCUCUUGUCCUGGUCUGGAAAGACUGGGUAACCCGUUGAACCUCCUUCGUGCUAGGGAUUGGGGCUUGCAAUUAUUCCCCAUGAACGAGGAAUUCCCAGUAAGCGCAAGUCAUCAGCUUGUGUUGAUUACGUCCCUGCCCUUUGUACACACCGCCCGUCGCUACUACCGAUUGAAUGGUUUAGUGAGACCCUCGGAUUCGUCCCAGCACAGUGGGUUUCUGCUGAGCUGGUGCGCGGAGAAGACGGUCGAACUUGAUCAUUUAGAGGAAGUAAAAGUUGUAACA